AAGUUUGAUGGCGACCGGCGCACGGGUGAGUAACACGUAUCCAACCUGCCGAUGACUCGGGGAUAGCCUUUCGAAAGAAAGAUUAAUACCCGAUGGCAUAGUUCUUCCGCAUGGUAGAACUAUUAAAGAAUUUCGGUCAUCGAUGGGGAUGCGUUCCAUUAGGUUGUUGGCGGGGUAACGGCCCACCAAGCCUUCGAUGGAUAGGGGUUCUGAGAGGAAGGUCCCCCACAUUGGAACUGAGACACGGUCCAAACUCCUACGGAAGGCAGCAUG
Molecule: ribosomal RNA, 273 nt
Filed under: uncultured bacterium
Lineage: Bacteria
Description: partial 16S ribosomal RNA
Rfam family: Bacterial small subunit ribosomal RNA
Source: RNAcentral